CCUACGGGAGGCAGCAGUAGGGAAUAUUGCUCAAUGGGGGAAACCCUGAAGCAGCAACGCCGCGUGGAGGAUGAAGGUUUUCGGUUUGUAAACUCCUUUUGUUAGAGAAGAUAAUGACGGUAUCUAACGAAUAAGCACCGGCUAACUCCGUGCCAGCAGCCGCGGUAAUACGGAGGGGGCAAGCGUUACCCGGAUUCACUGGGCGUAAAGGGCGCGUAGGCGGGAUAGCAAGUCAGAUGUGAAAUGCGAUGGCUUAACCAUCGAACUGCUUUUGAAACUGUUAGUCUGGAGUAUAGGAGAGGUAGGUGGAAUUCUUGGUGUAGGGGUAAAAUCCGUAGAGAUCAAGAGGAAUACUCAUGGCGAAGGCGACCUGCUAGAACGUAACUGACGCUGAUGCGCGAAAGCGUGGGGAGCAAACAGGAUUAGAUACCCGGGUAGUC
RNAcentral lists this ribosomal RNA (440 nucleotides) under uncultured bacterium. Its description in RNAcentral is "partial 16S ribosomal RNA". It matches the Rfam family "Bacterial small subunit ribosomal RNA", at positions 338 to 795 of the family's 1533-position model. The record is from RNAcentral.